RNAcentral lists this non-coding RNA (25 nucleotides) under Ctenophora environmental sample. The record is from RNAcentral. Lineage: Eukaryota; Metazoa; Ctenophora.
UCCGCUUGUUCCACAACUGCUGCAG